UAAUUGAAUAAGAUAUUAAGUGCGAUAAUUAAAAUAUCGUUAAAAGGGAAUUAAGUGAAAAUCUUAAACGAUCCGGUCGCUGUAAAUGAUAGUAUGUUUAAUUAUGCCAUUGCUAAUGCGAGAAGGCUAAACAUAUGUUAUACAUAAGUCAGAAAACCUGCUUAAUAUUUGAAUUUAUU
Molecule: non-coding RNA, 179 nt
Filed under: Tissierella praeacuta
Lineage: Bacteria; Bacillati; Bacillota; Tissierellia; Tissierellales; Tissierellaceae
Also listed under: 1 other name
Source: RNAcentral